RNAcentral lists this ribosomal RNA (460 nucleotides) under uncultured bacterium. RNAcentral describes it as "partial 16S ribosomal RNA". It matches the Rfam family "Bacterial small subunit ribosomal RNA", at positions 338 to 795 of the family's 1533-position model. The record is from RNAcentral.
CCUACGGGAGGCAGCAGUGAGGAAUAUUGGUCAAUGGACGCAAGUCUGAACCAGCCAUGCCGCGUGCAGGAAGACGGCUCUAUGAGUUGUAAACUGCUUUUGUACGAGGGUAAACCCAGAUACGCGUAUCUGUCUGAAAGUAUCGUACGAAUAAGGAUCGGCUAACUCCGUGCCAGCAGCCGCGGUAAUAAGGAGGAUUCAAGCGUUAUCCGGAUUUAUUGGGUUUAAAGGGUGCGUAGGCGGUCGGUUAAGUUAGAGGUGAAAUUCCGAGGCUCAACCUCGGAAUUGCCUCUGAUACUGGUCGGCUAGAGAGUAGUUGCGGUAGGCGGAAUGUAUGGUGUAGCGGUGAAAUGCUUAGAGAUCAUACAGAACACCGAUUGCGAAGGCAGCUUACCAAGCUACAUCUGACGUUGAGGCACGAAAGCGUGGGGAGCAAACAGGAUUAGAUACCCCAGUAGUC